This is a small nuclear RNA of Nannospalax galili (Upper Galilee mountains blind mole rat), 107 nucleotides long. The record is from Ensembl. NCBI's taxonomy places the organism in Eukaryota, Metazoa, Chordata, Mammalia, Rodentia, Spalacidae.
AUGCUCGCUUAGGAAGCACAUAUACUAAAACUAGAAUGAUACAGAGAAGAUUAGGAUGGGCCCUGAGCAAGGAUGACAUGCAAAUUCAUGAAGCAUUGCAUAUUUUU